AGAGUUCAACUGUCAACUCUGAUCAGGUUGUCUACAUUGUAUUUCAAAAUAUCAAAUCCAUCUGAUGGAUUACCAUGGCCAAGGUUUUGCUAAAUUGAAAUACAGUGAUUCAUUCUUCUCCAACUCUUGGAGUGGUCAAUCCCAUCUCGAUCACACUCUGACUUCGCAAGUACUUGACUGUGCCCAGAAGCCUUCCAUCCUUGAAUUAGAAAUUCAGUUAGUCUAGUACCAAAGCACAGUGAGUUGCUUGCAAGUCACUGAGGCGAUCUCAGGUCUAAGGGACACUUAUACCUAUAUCCCAUCAGAGACAUUCUCGACAGCAGAAUACUCUGGAGUUGGUCACGUUCAAUGACGAUGUACCCUUACAUCUCACCUGUAUGCCAUACCAGUGUCUCCACACUCUUUGGUUAAGAGGACAACCAACUCAUAUGGCCUACAACGACCUAUGCUCGAUAGAAGCUGUCGUCCUUAUUAACAGCCUAUCAUUUGGUCGUGAAC
This 498-nucleotide long non-coding RNA is filed under the name Elaeis guineensis (African oil palm). RNAcentral describes it as "long non-coding RNA (EGUI_LNC052058)". Lineage: Eukaryota; Viridiplantae; Streptophyta; Magnoliopsida; Arecales; Arecaceae. The record is from RNAcentral.